AUGUUUGGCCGGCAUGCUGAAAAGCAAAAGCUCCUGAGCUUCUUGCUGCAGCACGACGACCCUUCUGGUGAUCAUGUACCGGCAGUUCUUCCGAUUAUAGGUGGUGCAACAACUGGUAAGAAAACUUUGAUUGCUCAUGUGUGCGGCGAUGAAAGGGUUCGUCUGCGCUUCUCCUCUAUAUUGCACUUGAAUGGAGACAACCUUUUAAGAAUACUUGACCAUGGAAGGACUAUGAAAGGGAUGAUGUUGAUCGUUAUUGAGUUUGUUUCUGAUAUAGAUGACGAUGACUGGGAAAAGUUUCACUCAUUUCUCAUAACAAUUGGAAGAGGAAGCAAGAUCAUUAUUGUAAGUAGAAUUAAAAGAUUGGCCCGGUUUGCAUCGGUGAAGCCGAUUUUCUUAAGUGCUCUAUCUCAUGAUGAGCUGAGGUACCUUUUCAAGAUAAUGGCAUUCGGAAGCGUAGACCCGACAGAACAUCCACGGCUACUUCAGCUCGCGGAUGAAUUUGCCAAGGUGUUGCAUAGUAUGCAAGCUUCACUUGUUGAAACAACUGUGUUUGCAGAUGCGUUAAGAAGGAGUCUGCAUGUUCAAUCUUGGUGUGGCAUAUUGGACAAGGGGAUAAGAUUCCUUAAAAGGAACCUCUCCAUGUAUGGUAUGCAGCCAAGAAUAGCGCUCCUAGAACAAGGCCAUCCAGUGGACAUAAGGGACGUUACUUCGCAUCCACACAGCAUGGCACCUUAUACAAUGAAUGCUUCAAUCGAGAAACCGCCAAGUGUGACUGCUGCGGAACUUCUAACAGAUCCUAGUGUUAGACCAAAAGGAGACUUCAUUCUCAUUUUAUGGGAAUCAAGGAUACCCCCGCAUGAAUCAUUUGUUUAUUUUGUUACUAGGCGUGCUCAGGAUACACAUCAUGGUAGCACCUUGCCAGGGAGGAAGCGACGAGGAGUGCCGGUCUAA
This 954-nucleotide ribosomal RNA is filed under the name Triticum aestivum (bread wheat). Its description in RNAcentral is "partial small subunit ribosomal RNA". The record is from RNAcentral. Lineage: Eukaryota; Viridiplantae; Streptophyta; Magnoliopsida; Poales; Poaceae.